RNAcentral lists this ribosomal RNA (460 nucleotides) under uncultured bacterium. Its description in RNAcentral is "partial 16S ribosomal RNA". It matches the Rfam family "Bacterial small subunit ribosomal RNA", at positions 28 to 523 of the family's 1533-position model. The record is from RNAcentral.
GAUGAACGCUGGCGGCGUGCCUAAUACAUGCAAGUCGAGCGGUAAGGUCCCUUCGGGGAUACACGAGCGGCGGACGGCUGAGUAACACGUAGGAACGUACCCCAAAGUGAGGGAUAAGCACCGGAAACGGUGUCUAAUACCGCAUGUGAUCCACGGAUUAAAGCUUUAUGCGCUUUGGGAACGGCCUGCGUCCGAUUAGCUUGUUGGUGAGGUAAUAGCCCACCAAGGCGACGAUCGGUAGCUGGUCUGAGAGGAUGAUCAGCCAGACUGGGACUGAGACACGGCCCAGACUCCUACGGGAGGCAGCAGUAGGGAAUUUUCCACAAUGGGGGCAACCCUGAUGGAGCAACGCCGCGUGCAGGAUGAAGGCUUUCGGGUCGUAAACUGCUUUUAUCUGUGACGAUUUUGACGGUAGCAGAUGAAUAAGGAUCGGCUAACUCCGUGCCAGCAGCCGCCGUAA